CCUACGGGAGGCAGCAGUGAGGAAUAUUGGUCAAUGGGCGAGAGCCUGAAGCAGCCAAGUCGCGUGAGGGAGUACUGCCCUAUGGGUUGUAAACCUCUUUUGUCGGGGAGCAAAAGCCGGACGUGUCCGGCUGUGAGAGUACCCGAAGAAAAAGCAUCGGCUAACUCCGUGCCAGCAGCCGCGGUAAUACGUAGGGGGCGAGCGUUAUCCGGAUUCACGGGGUGUAAAGGGAGCGUAGACGGCCAUGCAAGCCAGGGGUGAAAGCCCCGGGCCCAACCCCGGGACUGCCAUUGGUACUGGGCGGCUAGAGUGCGGGAGGGGCAGGCGGAAUUCCUGGUGUAGCGGUGAAAUGCGUAGAUAUCAGGAGGAACACCGGCGGCGAAGGCGGCCUGCUGGACUGCGACUGACGUUGAGGCUCGAAAGCGUGGGGAGCGAACAGGAUUAGAUACCCCAGUAGUC
Molecule: ribosomal RNA, 459 nt
Filed under: uncultured bacterium
Lineage: Bacteria
Description: partial 16S ribosomal RNA
Rfam family: Bacterial small subunit ribosomal RNA
Source: RNAcentral